RNAcentral lists this ribosomal RNA (490 nucleotides) under Desulfobulbus sp. oral taxon 041. RNAcentral describes it as "bacterial SSU rRNA". It matches the Rfam family "Bacterial small subunit ribosomal RNA", at positions 29 to 498 of the family's 1533-position model. Lineage: Bacteria; Pseudomonadati; Thermodesulfobacteriota; Desulfobulbia; Desulfobulbales; Desulfobulbaceae. The record is from RNAcentral.
AACGAACGCUGCGGCGUGUUUAACACAUGCAAGUCGAACGCGAAAGGGACUUCGGUUCUUAGUAGAGUGGCGCACGGGUGAGUAACGCGUAGAUAACCUGUCUUCAUAUCCGGAAUAACACGCCGAAAGGGGUACUUAAUACCGGAUAUUCUUGCAUUUCACAGGUAAGGCAAGGAAAGGUGGCCUCUGAUUCAAGCUACUGUAUGAAGAGGGGUCUGCGUACCAUUAGCUAGUAGGUGGGGUAAUGGCCUACCUAGGCGACGAUGGUUAGCGGGUCUGAGAGGAUGAUCCGCCACACUGGCACUGGAAUACGGGCCAGACUCCUACGGGAGGCAGCAGUGAGGAAUAUUGCGCAAUGGGGGCAACCCUGACGCAGCGACGCCGCGUGAGUGAGGAAGGUCUUCGGAUCGUAAAGCUCUGUCAAGAGGGAAGAAGAGCAAAGCAGCGAAUAACUGUUUUGUUUGACGGUACCUCUAAAGAAGCACGGUAA